GGGCCUAUAGCUCAGUUGGUUAGAGCCCUCGGCUCAUAACCGAGUUGUCCCAGGUUCGAGUCCUGGUGGGCCCACCA
RNAcentral lists this transfer RNA (77 nucleotides) under Anoxybacter fermentans. RNAcentral describes it as "tRNA-Met". It matches the Rfam family "tRNA". Rfam says of the family: Transfer RNA (tRNA) molecules are approximately 80 nucleotides in length. Their secondary structure includes four short double-helical elements and three loops (D, anti-codon, and T loops). Further hydrogen bonds mediate the characteristic L-shaped molecular structure. tRNAs have two regions of fundamental functional importance: the anti-codon, which is responsible for specific mRNA codon recognition, and the 3' end, to which the tRNAs corresponding amino acid is attached (by aminoacyl-tRNA synthetases). tRNAs cope with the degeneracy of the genetic code in two manners: having more than one tRNA (with a specific anti-codon) for a particular amino acid; and 'wobble' base-pairing, i.e. permitting non-standard base-pairing at the 3rd anti-codon position. The record is from RNAcentral. Lineage: Bacteria; Bacillati; Bacillota; Clostridia; Halanaerobiales.